UUUGUAUUAUUUCUUCAUCAUCUCUUUCCUCCAAUCAAAUAUAAUCAUAUCUUCUCCUUCUUCACCGGAACCCUACCGUCGGUACCAGCUAGCAUUGCGUACUUAUCCUUUCUUGUAAAGUUGGUGCACUCAAACCCUAAGGUUCCUGCUAAAACCCUCUGUAUGUAAUUCGCCACCUCUAUCGGCGACUUGCCUCCUUUACACGUCAGCUCAGCCGGAAGCUGUUUAAGGAACGUGAUCUCGAACGUCGGAACCGGGUUCAUGAACGCGAAGUAAGGAUCAAGAAACUUGUAGCCACGUGUGGUUGUACCAUUAAACACGCUUUGUUUCGUAUUAAUCGCCACGGGAACGAUCCUAUCCGUAAGCUCGGCAAAGAGUGCACUAAACCGGAGAAGGAAAGGCUCACGGCAAGUGGUUCCCUCCGGACAUAUCACGAGAUCACCUUCCUCUAAGAGACGCUUGAUGUUCGCUGCGUCUUUCUCGCGCUGACGAGUCAACGCAACGGCUUUUAUUGGAGAGAUUAGCUCAGAGAAUUUGCUGAUACUGUACGUGACGCAGCUAAUUUUCCGACCGAGCGCGACAGCUGUCACCACGGGGUCGAGGACGGUCCGGUGGUUGCAGACCAAGAGGUGGCCUGGUUGGCCGGGUUUAGGUGGCGGAGGAGGGUUGCCGUUGACGACUAGUUUGAUCCCUGUGAGCUUGUAGUUGUAACGGGCGAUGCGUUCCGGUAACGGAAUAUUCGUGUAGACGCGGAUGAGAGAGACUAGAAAACCGACGGGAAGCCAGAGGAGAGUUAACAAUGCAACUAACGGAGUUGGUCGUUGGACUAAUCUGCCCUCGUGGAAUAUUAUAGGGUUUAAGAGUUUAUUUCUUGGUAAUGGUUCGCAUUUUGUACGUGGCACCAUGUAACCCUCCUGCAGUCAAUUAAAAAAAUUGUUAUAUUAACUGAAGCUGAAAAGUACUUGUGAUUUGUACGUAAUUGUCUGGUAGCAUGCACUUUUGAUUUUUUUGGGGUCGAAUUAUAUAAUGCGAUACCAUAGUACUCAUGAGAGAGACAUAUGUACUAUCAAAAUUAUUAGUGAUUAGAAAAAACAUGCAUGUAAUACAUCUUACAUGUGUAAGUAAUUUAUAUAAUUACCUAGGAUAAUUUUUUUUGACCAAAUUAUAUUUUUGACUUAAUUAUUUAGCAGUUUACGAGAUGAGAGUGAAGAAGAACAAAACAAAUAUGAUCAUGGCUUUUACAUGACAAAAAAAAAACAGUGGUUCGUGUAUGAAAGAACCUAAAAGUUACUGAUUCUAUCACAGAGUUUAAGAAUUCACUCGUAAAGUCUAAAACAAAAUUCUAAAAUAGUCUAUUGGGUAGAUACGUAAGGUCUAAGAAAGUUUAAGCACGUAAAAUGACUUUAGUUUCUUUAAAAGAAUUAUAAAAGAACAAAAGUUUCUUUAAUUAUUUACCUAAUUUUAUCCUCAUUUAGUGCAACUAGACAUUAUAAAAAAAUUAUAUGAUUGGCCAAAAUGAAUAAGAUCAUCUUUAUCGGAGUAUUUAGGAGGAUUUUUAGAGGAAAAGAUGGGAUUGGUCCUACAAAAUGAGAAGAAAGGUAGUUUCCUGUCGCUAAAUAAGAGAUUUUGUUAUGGGUUUUUUCCACUGUUUUACGGGCUCCAUAACACGUGGCGGCCCGUGAUUGGUUCUUUUAAAAAAAAAAAACAGAUAAAACAAAAAAAAAAAAAUUUAAGAAACGGAACUGGGUUUCUGCGAUGCUGAUGCUCUAAGAAGGGCUGUACACACUAAACAGUGAACACCAUAGGACAACACAAUAACUACUCAACCGAAAAAGCUGCACCUACGUCCAAAUUUCAUUGACAUAUACUCUCUCCGUUCCUAAAUAUAAGAUGUUUAGGUAAAAACACGAAUAUAAAAAAAAUCAUUUUUUGUCUAGAAAGUAUCAUUAAAAUCAUAAAUUAAUGUUAUUCAUCCAAUUACAAAAUAGAUUAUCAAAUAUAAGAGAAUACUAGAGGGGUUCUUAGCGUGUGGGUCCCGCGUAGGACCCUUUUUUUUUUAAGAAACCGGUUACCAAAACUACCAAAUAGUAGUCGGUCCUUAAGGGUUUUUUACACUGUUCGCGGGCCCCACUGACACGUGGCGGUCCGCGAUUGGUUCGUUUUUAAUUUUUUUUUUCUAAAUUCGAAAAAAUAAAAAAAAAAAAUUAAGAAACCCUAAAUGGGAUAAUGAUGCUCUAAUUGGUUACACAGUUUUUAAUAAAUAAAAAAUUACCUAGAAAAAUAAAAAACAUCUUAUAUAUUAGAACAUCAAAAUUCUUUAAAACAUCUUAUGUUUAAUAACUGAUGGAGUAAUUAUAUACUCAUAAUGUCGUGAAUAACGUAUUUAUUGAGUUAGACAUCAGUAAUAAAAAGAUACGAAAAUAACAUAUCAUACAAAAAAGAGGAAGAUAGGUGACGGAAAUAACCUUGCAAAUUGACAUGAAAUCGUGGUCCGUCUUACUAUCGCCAAGCCCCAAAUCAGGUAAACCGGACGCAACGCCACCGAACUCUCUCAAAAUGGCGUCGCGUUUGUGUUGACCAACGAGAACACCUGGUCUUCUAACAAAACCGGUUGCACGACCCGAUUUGGAGACUUCGAGUUCCGUUCCAAGAACUUUAUUGACUCCUAGGUAUGUCUUCACGAACGGCUCAACCAUGACCCGUGGACUAGCUGUUACUAUAUACCGCUUCCCGAAGGUGUUGAAGAUACUCCACGCGUCAGGUCUCACGUCCUCCGCGUAAAACCUCGGUAGGACGGAACGGACCACGAGCUCAACGUCUCGGAUCUUGAGACCAGCGAAGGUGAUAAAGAUGAAAAUGUUGAUGGCUAGUGUCUCGGAGACGGAGAGGUACGUGAGGUAGACGAAUGGUACGGACGCAAGUAGGAUCAAAGCGCGGAGCAAGCUCCCUGCUUCGAGGGCCACGAGGAAAUAGUAAGGAAAUGCGCUACGAGAGAUUAGUAACGUCCCAUCGAGAUCAGCAGUCACGGUUUGGUUCGACCGGUCCUUAAUCUCAUAGCUUGUUAUUGGCUGGAAACGACGCCGCUUCUCCUGAGCCCCCAUCAGACAAGAAGAGAAGAGAGAGAGAGGUGGGAAAUUUGGAAGGUGAGAAUGAGUAUGGAUUGGUGAAUACUUUUUAGGAGUGUUGUUUAUAUAGUGAGAAGCGAAAGAGAAUGGGCAUGAUUUUGUUGUUGAGGUGGUUGAUAUUAGUAUACCAAAGAAAUAUAUGCUUUUGAUUUUUCAACGGUUAGAGAAAGAAAAAGAACAGACUGUGUAUAAUAGAUAACAAUAUCAGUAUGACUACUGCCGUUACAUAAAUUAAUUAGUCGAUCUUCCGAAUACGCAAGGAAGUGAUUUGAAUAAAAUAAUAGCCAAAAUGUGGAUAUCAAAUUUUGAUUAAUUAGGGAAGAUAGUUAAUUGCGAAGAAUGAGUGGUUUGAGACGUGUGAAAUAGAAUGAGAGUUAAAGUUGGUGAAGACCGAAACCAAUCUAUUGAUUAUCCAAACAACUAUGGAGAAUUUUUUAUGUUCUUGAAGGCCUACGCGCCGCCGGUUUAUAGUUAGAGGCUUUGAUCUCCAUCUUUGCCUCUUAUUGUUUAAGUUUGUUUUUGGUAUGCUGUGAGUGUCAGUCUCUACCAUGUUUUAUCAAUGAGUCUGAUUGUGGUUACCUGCGGUUUCUUGUGGCCUCUGGAAGUUCCUGGUUCAGCUAUGUAUAUUGCAAGUACACAACGUAUCAUUUUUGCUCAGAUUUUCUCAUUUUAGUUCAGUUCUUUUGAAUUGUUUUGAACUUUGUAUUUUAGUUAUGUUAUGAUCGUCUACCUGAAUUUUAAUUGAAAUUUGGUUCAAAAAUACAACAUGCAUUAUUUGUUUCUAAGAGAAAAGAUGGUAGGUGAUGAAAUUGAAUUGCAAAAUAAAAGAAAUAGAUUAGCAUUAAUAUAUAUAUUUGUAUAUAGUAGGUCUUUCACGGAGAUUUCAGUUCUUUUUUUUUCCGCCAAGUUUUUUAAUAUUAAUAAAACGGGAUCAAGCCCAACUACACGGCCCGAGGCCCAACAAGACAAACAUCAAGAAGUCCAAAACCCUACGGGGCAAAUAAGAUAAGUUAAAGGGUCUGCGGCCCAAAACAAAAGAAACCGGACGACUUCGGUAGACCCACGCGUCAAGGAGGCCGGACACGUGUAAGCAUAAAACACCAUCAGGACGACACGCGUCGCUUCCGCCUCAACUUGACCGUCACCGCCUCGAAACGUCGCCGGAGCUACCACCGCAAACCUUGAGCUCAGAUUACCGGAGAGCCUCCAUCGAAACCAUAUCUCUUCACUUCCACGCUUUGUCUUCACUUCGGAGAGCUUCAUCGAUCCAGUCGAGAGCUCAUCCGACUGAACAAAGCCGUGAACCACGAACCCAGAACCAAGACAAGCCACAAGCGGGAUCCAAAACCGAUCCAACGAACUGAAACACCUAAAGCCGGCGACGCAAGACUGAGAGAGCCUUCAUCCCCCGGAGACAAAACCGACGACGGCGAAACUGAAGAAGCCUGCACCUCCCGGAGACAAGGGCCGGCGGCGACGGAGCUGUAGGAGCCUAUAUUUGUAUAACAUGCUUAAGAUGAGCUUAAUGUAAAACAGAUUUUUGGGUCAGAAUUAAUUUACAUUCGAUUAAAAAGACAAUAUUAUAUACAAUCAAGCAAAUGAUCACACCAAGGUUUUCUUUCUUAAAUCGUUAUUAUACUAAAAGUAAAACUUGAAAAUAUCACGAAAAAACUUGCAAAGAAACAAUUAUCGAAGCAUAGAAGACAAAUAAAUUAACAAACUUACCAAUUCUUGCUAAAUGAAAAAAAAAAGAUUUAAAUAUUUGUAUUAUUUCUUCAUCAUCUCUUUCCUCCAAUCAAAUAUAAUCAUAUCUUCUCCUUCUUCACCGGAACCCUACCGUCGGUACCAGCUAGCAUUGCGUACUUAUCCUUUCUUGUAAAGUUGGUGCACUCAAACCCUAAGGUUCCUGCUAAAACCCUCUGUAUGUAAUUCGCCACCUCUAUCGGCGACUUGCCUCCUUUACACGUCAGCUCAGCCGGAAGCUGUUUAAGGAACGUGAUCUCGAACGUCGGAACGGGGUUCAUGAACGCGAAGUAAGGAUCAAGAAACUUG
RNAcentral lists this long non-coding RNA (5177 nucleotides) under Brassica napus (rape). RNAcentral describes it as "long non-coding RNA (BNAP_LNC016553)". The record is from RNAcentral. Lineage: Eukaryota; Viridiplantae; Streptophyta; Magnoliopsida; Brassicales; Brassicaceae.